AGUAACGCGUGGGUUACCAACCCCCAGGCCCGGGAUAGCGGUGGGAAACUGCCGGUAAUACCGGAUAAUGUCCCCGGACUAAAGGUGUGAUUCCGCCUGGGGACGGACCCGCGUCCUAUUAGCUUGUUGGUGGGGUAACGGCCUACCAAGGCGAAGAUGGGUAGCGGGCGUGAGAGCGUGGCCCGUCUCACUGGGACUGAGACACUGCCCAGACACCUACGGGUGGCUGCAGUCGAGAAUCUUCGGCAAUGGGCGCAAGCCUGACCGAGCGACGCCGCGUGCGGGAUGAAGGCCUUCGGGUUGUAAACCGCUGUCAGUGGGGUGGAAAUGCAUGGGGGUCCUCCCCUGUGUUUGACCUAACCGCAGAGGAAGUCCGGGCUAAGUUCGUGCCAGCAGCCGCGGUAAUUUGAACCGGACGAACGUUAUUCGGAAUCACUGGGCUUAAAGAGUGCGUAGGCGGCCUGGCAAGUUGGGUGUGAAAGCCCACGGCUCAACCGUGGAAUUGCGCUCAAAACUGCCAGGCUGGAGGGAGACAGGGGUGAGCGGAACUGAUGGUGGAGCGGUGAAAUGCGUUGAUAUCAUCAGGAACACCAGUGGCGAAGGCGGCUCACUGGGUCUCUUCUGACGCUGAGGCACGAAAGCUAGGGGAGCGAACGGGAUUAGAUACCCCGGUAGUCCUAGCUGUAAACGAUGAGCACUAGUUCGAGGGGACUUCCACAUCCUCUCGGACGUAGCGAAAGUGUUAAGUGCUCCGCCUGGGGAGUAUGGUC
This 770-nucleotide ribosomal RNA is filed under the name uncultured Planctomycetota bacterium. RNAcentral's name for it is "bacterial SSU rRNA". It matches the Rfam family "Bacterial small subunit ribosomal RNA", at positions 109 to 887 of the family's 1533-position model. Lineage: Bacteria; Pseudomonadati; Planctomycetota. The record is from RNAcentral.